RNAcentral lists this small RNA (143 nucleotides) under Escherichia coli. Its description in RNAcentral is "Short Intergenic Abundant RNA". It matches the Rfam family "Short Intergenic Abundant RNA". From Rfam's summary of the family: This family contains multiple ncRNA from E. coli that were identified in a large scale screen of E. coli, were they were called candidates 43,55 and 61. These RNAs have also been identified by other groups and called QUAD RNAs. The record is from RNAcentral. RNAcentral also lists the same sequence under 89 other names. Lineage: Bacteria; Pseudomonadati; Pseudomonadota; Gammaproteobacteria; Enterobacterales; Enterobacteriaceae.
UUGACAAUCUUAUCGUGAAGGCAUACUUUCAGGAGUGAGGGUAGAGCGGGGUUUCCCCCGCCCUGGUAGUCUUAGUAUGCUGGGUAGCUAAUCACUAAGAGCACCACGAUGAUGAGUAGCUUCAUCAUGACCCUUUCCUUAUU